ACUUAAAUUGAAGAGUUUGAUCAUGGCUCAGAUUGAACGCUGGCGGCAGGCCUAACACAUGCAAGUCGAGCGGUAGCACAGAGAGCUUGCUCUCGGGUGACGAGCGGCGGACGGGUGAGUAAUGUCUGGGAAACUGCCUGAUGGAGGGGGAUAACUACUGGAAACGGUAGCUAAUACCGCAUAACGUCGCAAGACCAAAGUGGGGGACCUUCGGGCCUCAUGCCAUCAGAUGUGCCCAGAUGGGAUUAGCUAGUAGGUGGGGUAAUGGCUCACCUAGGCGACGAUCCCUAGCUGGUCUGAGAGGAUGACCAGCCACACUGGAACUGAGACACGGUCCAGACUCCUACGGGAGGCAGCAGUGGGGAAUAUUGCACAAUGGGCGCAAGCCUGAUGCAGCCAUGCCGCGUGUAUGAAGAAGGCCUUCGGGUUGUAAAGUACUUUCAGCGAGGAGGAAGGCGUUAAGGUUAAUAACCUUGGCGAUUGACGUUACUCGCAGAAGAAGCACCGGCUAACUCCGUGCCAGCAGCCGCGGUAAUACGGAGGGUGCAAGCGUUAAUCGGAAUUACUGGGCGUAAAGCGCACGCAGGCGGUCUGUUAAGUCAGAUGUGAAAUCCCCGGGCUCAACCUGGGAACUGCAUUUGAAACUGGCAGGCUUGAGUCUUGUAGAGGGGGUAGAAUUCCAGGUGUAGCGGUGAAAUGCGUAGAGAUCUGGAGGAAUACCGGUGGCGAAGGCGGCCCCCUGGACAAAGACUGACGCUCAGGUGCGAAAGCGUGGGGAGCAAACAGGAUUAGAUACCCUGGUAGUCCACGCUGUAAACGAUGUCGACUUGGAGGUUGUUCCCUUGAGGAGUGGCUUCCGGAGCUAACGCGUUAAGUCGACCGCCUGGGGAGUACGGCCGCAAGGUUAAAACUCAAAUGAAUUGACGGGGGCCCGCACAAGCGGUGGAGCAUGUGGUUUAAUUCGAUGCAACGCGAAGAACCUUACCUACUCUUGACAUCCAGAGAACUUAGCAGAGAUGCUUUGGUGCCUUCGGGAACUCUGAGACAGGUGCUGCAUGGCUGUCGUCAGCUCGUGUUGUGAAAUGUUGGGUUAAGUCCCGCAACGAGCGCAACCCUUAUCCUUUGUUGCCAGCGGUCCGGCCGGGAACUCAAAGGAGACUGCCAGUGAUAAACUGGAGGAAGGUGGGGAUGACGUCAAGUCAUCAUGGCCCUUACGAGUAGGGCUACACACGUGCUACAAUGGCAUAUACAAAGAGAAGCGACCUCGCGAGAGCAAGCGGACCUCAUAAAGUAUGUCGUAGUCCGGAUUGGAGUCUGCAACUCGACUCCAUGAAGUCGGAAUCGCUAGUAAUCGUAGAUCAGAAUGCUACGGUGAAUACGUUCCCGGGCCUUGUACACACCGCCCGUCACACCAUGGGAGUGGGUUGCAAAAGAAGUAGGUAGCUUAACCUUCGGGAGGGCGCUUACCACUUUGUGAUUCAUGACUGGGGUGAAGUCGUAACAAGGUAACCGUAGGGGAACCUGCGGUUGGAUCACCUCCUUACCUGAAAGAA
This 1553-nucleotide ribosomal RNA is filed under the name Klebsiella ornithinolytica. RNAcentral describes it as "bacterial SSU rRNA". It matches the Rfam family "Bacterial small subunit ribosomal RNA". The record is from RNAcentral. Lineage: Bacteria; Pseudomonadati; Pseudomonadota; Gammaproteobacteria; Enterobacterales; Enterobacteriaceae.